RNAcentral lists this long non-coding RNA (433 nucleotides) under Lathyrus oleraceus (garden pea). RNAcentral describes it as "Pisum sativum (pea) long non-coding RNA (PSAT_LNC035959)". Lineage: Eukaryota; Viridiplantae; Streptophyta; Magnoliopsida; Fabales; Fabaceae. The record is from RNAcentral.
UGGAUUCAAAAAGGGAAACAAGGGGCUUUAGGUUCAGAGUCGAUGUUACAUCCGGUGUUUGUGUCUUUUAUUUCCUCGGUUUUCUUUACUUAUUUCUUGAAUUUUUUACCGACUGCCCUUUUCCGUGCUUCUUUCUUUCGAAUCAUCGAGUAUUUGAUUUUUCUUUUUCUUUCUUUUUCUCGAUUUAUCAAUUUUUCUUUUUCUUUUGUUUUUGCACUUUCUAAGGCUUUGAGAGCUUUUGGGGUUUUUACCCCAAACUUAGCUUUUCAACAUAGCUGGAAUAUAUUCUCAUGACUCUAAAUAGGGUGAAGGACUGUUUUGGCCAAUGGUUACAUUCAUGGUGUUUUAAACAAAAAAAAUGGAUACAGGCUCAAAGGGGGUGAACGAGGGAUAUAGUAAUUCGAGAUGGCUAGAAAGGCUCGGGGUUAAUUAC